Small nuclear RNA from Sarcophilus harrisii (Tasmanian devil), 103 nucleotides. NCBI's taxonomy places the organism in Eukaryota, Metazoa, Chordata, Mammalia, Dasyuromorphia, Dasyuridae. The record is from Ensembl.
GCUUGUUUUGGCAGCACUUUACUAAAUAGAAAUGAUAUAGAAAAGAUUAGCAUUGCCCAAGCACAAAGAUGACACACAAUUUCGUGAAGCAGAGAACAUAUAA